AUUGAACGCUGGUGGCAGGCCUAACACAUGCAAGUCGAACGAGUGGCGGACGGGUGUGUACUGUCUGGGAAACUGCCCGAUGGAGGGGGAUAACUACUGGAAACGGUAGCUAAUACCGCAUACCAUCGGAUGUGCCCAGAUGGGCUUAGCUAGUAGGUGGGGUAAAGGCUCACCUAGGCGACGAUCCCUAGCUGGUCGGAGAGGAUGACCGACCACACUGUAACUGAGACACGGGCCAGACUCCAACGGGAGGCAGCAGUGGGGAAUAGUGCACAAUGGGGGCAAGCCAGAUGCAGCCAUGCCGCGUGUAUGAAGAAGGCCUUCGGGUUGUAAAGUACUUUCAGCGGGGAGGCGUUACUCGCAGAAGAAGCACCGGCUAACUCCGUGCCAGCAGCCGCGGUAAUAC
Molecule: ribosomal RNA, 406 nt
Filed under: uncultured bacterium
Lineage: Bacteria
Description: partial 16S ribosomal RNA
Rfam family: Bacterial small subunit ribosomal RNA
Source: RNAcentral